AUACGGAGGGUCCGAGCGUUAUCCGGAAUCAUUGGGUUUAAAGGGUCCGUAGGCGGGAAUCUAAGUCAGUGGUGAAAUCUUGCAGCUCAACUGUAAAAUUGCCAUUGAUACUGGAUUUCUUGAAUUAGUGUGAAGUGGUUAGAAUGUGUAGUAUAGCGGUGAAAUGCAUAGAUAUUACACAGAAUACCAAUUGCGAAGGCAGAUCACUAACACUAUAUUGACGCUGAGGGACGAAAGCGUGGGGAGCGAACAGGAUUAGAAACCCUAGUAGUCC
Molecule: ribosomal RNA, 274 nt
Filed under: uncultured bacterium
Lineage: Bacteria
Description: partial 16S ribosomal RNA
Rfam family: Bacterial small subunit ribosomal RNA
Source: RNAcentral